Molecule: transfer RNA, 78 nt
Filed under: Shigella dysenteriae 1617
Lineage: Bacteria; Pseudomonadati; Pseudomonadota; Gammaproteobacteria; Enterobacterales; Enterobacteriaceae
Description: tRNA-Thr (GGT) (tRNA-Thr-GGT-2-1)
Rfam family: tRNA
About the family: Transfer RNA (tRNA) molecules are approximately 80 nucleotides in length. Their secondary structure includes four short double-helical elements and three loops (D, anti-codon, and T loops).
Source: RNAcentral
GCUGAUAUGGCUCAAGUUGGUAGAGCGCACCCUUGGUAAGGGUGAGGUCCCCCAGUUCGACUCUGGGUAUCAGCACCA